This 1911-nucleotide ribosomal RNA is filed under the name Triticum aestivum (bread wheat). Its description in RNAcentral is "partial small subunit ribosomal RNA". The record is from RNAcentral. Lineage: Eukaryota; Viridiplantae; Streptophyta; Magnoliopsida; Poales; Poaceae.
AUGCCUUGGCCACCGCUUGAUCGAAACCACUCCUUGGCGAUCGAUCGCGGCGGCGAUCGAUUCCGACCGCGCGUGGAGCACGUUCUGUUCCCUUUCCCUUUCCUGCUAGUUUCUAUUUUGGGAAAACCCACUCGACCACCGCAUCUUAUCCUAUCCCCUGCGCCUCGCCUCCCUACUCUGCCCUGCCGCUUCCCCUCCUCGCCGGCGGCUCCUUCCUCGCGGCAGCCCACUAUCCCCGGCGCCUCGCCUCCCUACUCUGCCCUGCCGCUUCCCCUCCUCGCCGGCGGCUCCUCCCUAGCGGCAGCGACCAAUACGGCGAGACGACGCGGCCGCACGAGUGCCGGCAAGGUCAGCGGUGAAUACGGCGAGGCGCCGCAGCCGCACGAGCCCCCGCAAGGUCAACGGCGAAUAGGGCGAGGCGCCGCGGCCGCACGAGCGGCGGCGAGGUCAGCAUACGGCGAGGCGCCGCGUCCGCACGGGCGGCAGGGGCCAAGGCGGAGCGGCCGCACAGCCGCCGCGAUUUCCAGGGGCGGAAGCGGCCAAUACGGCGAGGCAGUGUUUGUCCGGCGGCCUCCAUAUGUUGAAGCCCUGCUGACACAGCAGCCUAAGAAUGUCGGAAGUGUAUCGUUCUGUGAUGAUUCUGCCAACAAACAAAGGAAGAACAAGGAAGAAGAGAAUUCUUGUCCUGUUGCAGUGCAGUUGCCAUCUGAAGAAGGCGAUCAAGAGCUGAAGCAACAUGGAGCAUCCCGGCCAUCCUUGAAUUCUCCUGGCAGCAGGAGGCACAGGCGCAGAGGUAACAGAAAGAAGGGGGAAGAUGGUUCUGCUUCGAGUCCUAUUGAAGCUCAUGUGCCAUCUGAAAAAACGAAGCAAAACAAGUCAAAUUCUCCUGGCAAUAGAAGGCACAGGUGUCGUGGUAACAGCAAGGAGUUGCAUGAUUCUGCUCUGAGUCCUGAUGAAGCUCAUGUGCCAUCUGAAAAAGGGAAGCAAAAGAAGAAGUGGAAUUCUCCUGGCAACAGAAGGACCAAAAGUCCUGGUAACAGGAAGAAGUCAAAUUCUCCUGGCAACAGAAGGACCAACAGUCCUGGUAACAGGAAGAAGGAAGAAGAUGAUUUAAUUUCUUUGAAAGGACUAAUCCUCAUCAGCAUGAGUAUCGGGGGCCAUCCUCCUUGGAAUUUUGUCACUCUGUUUUUCUUGCUGGUCAAAGUGCGAGUACUGACAGGGGUUUUUGUUCUUAGAUUUGGCCACCGGAGAGGAUUGGUUCGAUUGGUUCAAAGGAGUAGGACACGGCCAGGCCCUGCAUUUGUUGGUGCAUCUUCAUGUCUACCAUUUGAUACUUCACAAUUUUGGUCCUUGCCCCCCGGAAGCCAACCCCGUUCAGCGAAUCUAUGGCAUGACUCAAUUGGGGGGAUCUUUUUGGAUGAAAUUCUGAACACUAUUCAAAGAAAUAAGCAGCUGGCAUUUGUUCAAGAAUAUACUAAGUCUGUGAACAUUGUUUGUUUCUCUGUAGCCAUUUGUUCAAGAAUAGCGUGGCCUCCGAACAUUCAGCAAAAGAGGGACAUUGUGAAUUUACUAGAUUGCGACAAGUCUACACAGGGAAUAGGCCGAGUUUGCAAUGAGCAGCUUGCAGAGCUACUAUGGCCUGAGUUCUCAAAGAGGAGAUGGCAUGGAUUUAAGUACAUUAAUGUCCUUGUACAGCAAGGGAAGCUCCCAAGUAUGCGUUUGAAUAUGGACACAGACUCAAAGAACGGUGGGAUCUUUAUGUGGUCGGGCUCCAAGUGGACCUUCAACCAUGAGUCCUUCACCUGUCCGUUGCUCGACGGUCUGCCCAAACCUGUGCCGGGUCAGCGGCGAUCACACAACGGACGGGAUUAUGGAGUCGUCAAACGACAUUACAGUUGCAUCAAAGGUUAA